Molecule: long non-coding RNA, 1407 nt
Filed under: Heterocephalus glaber (naked mole-rat)
Lineage: Eukaryota; Metazoa; Chordata; Mammalia; Rodentia; Bathyergidae
Description: lncRNA (ENSHGLG00000039812.1)
Source: RNAcentral
AAGCCCUUCUGCCCUCUCCCCACUGGCUGCUCCAGAGCUGGCUGUGUCCCAAGUGGAACUGCAGCUCCGAGAGUGUGGGCACCCGGAAGAACAAGGACUCUUCCUGUCCAAGGACCCCACACGCUGCUCCCUGACCCAGGUGCCAGCUGCUCGGUGUGGCAGGAGUCCUUGCAGCUGGCCCUGCCCAAUCCCUGGCACCACGGAGCUCUUUACCCAGCCUCCUGUCCAUGGUCCCUCACAUCCCCGGGAGACUGGGUCACUCGGUCCUUCUAUGGACAGAGGGCACCCGCGCCCCCCAGGCCCUUGAACUGCUCUCUGCUCCUAAAGCCAGCUCGGGAUCCCCUGCCCCUUCCCUGUCUCCACAGCCUCCCCCCACCAUUCCACCCAGCUCUCGGGCCCCCUCCACGGGUGCUAUGGUAUUCAGGGCUUCCUGGCAUUCCUCCCCUGCCCACCCUGCCCGCUAAAUAUACACCGAGGAGGAGUCGGGGAAGGAGCCUCCACAGCUACGAUGCACCCUUCCACCCCUGCAGCUGGGGCCCCCACUCAAGGAGCCCAGCCUGCUGCAGGCACGGGGGGACCCAGCCCCUAGCACCAGGCUGGGUCUCGGAGGAUAGGGCUCUGGGUUCAGGGCCCGCGGGGUGGAGACCAACUGUCCACCUCCCCCCUUACCCUCGGCACCCCCACAGUGCAGAGGGCAGAAACCGAGUCAAAGGAGAGCAAGCCGGGCUCCAGGCUCAGGGCAGCAGUCAGGCGAGUCCGGCCCUAACCUGCGUCCUCCAGGAAGAACUGAAGCGCGCACAGCUCCCCUUCAAAGAGAGUGCGCCCGCUGGGGCUGGGCCGCAAGACCCGCCAAGGAGCUGGGGCCUCCCCACGGAGAAGGAGGUGGUGUCUCCAUGGCAUCCCACCCACGCCAGACUGUCCCGCGGUCCCUGCUCGCGUGUAUACGGCCUCGCCGUCCAAGGGGCUCCAUGCUUCACUCAGAAACUGUAGUCUUGCUGUCUGGGGCACCCCUCCCCCGGGCCAGGGCUGCUGAACAGACCCCACACGAUCUCCCCAGAAGCCUGGUCCCUGUCCCCGGCAAGCUUCCCCUCCCCACCCUGCACGGGCAGCCCAUUCCCUAGCCUGAGCAUGGAGACCUGGAGGGAGCCUGGUCACCUUGUCAGGACCGGCACUCCGUGUCUGUGUGCCGAGCUCCUGUGAAACACGCUGGAGCAGGAGUAGACUGCGUGAGUCCCUUUCACUUGAGCAGCCUGCUCCCCUUUUUUGGGCCAUGUUACAUUUGGAAUGUGACCCCGAAAGUUAAUCCCCAAAGUCGUAUGUUAAUGGUACUUUGGAGGUGGGAGCUUUGGCAGGUGCCUGGGAUUAGAUGAGCUCAGGAGGGGGUUCAUGGCUUUCUGACGAGUGGAG